This 24-nucleotide non-coding RNA is filed under the name Cricetulus griseus (Chinese hamster). The record is from RNAcentral. Lineage: Eukaryota; Metazoa; Chordata; Mammalia; Rodentia; Cricetidae.
UCUAUAUGCUGGACUGCUGAGACG